AUGCAGACCAUGGGAGUCAGUCCGCGAGAGAUAAGUUCCGCGGGCAAAAGGGGAACACCCCAGAUCAACCGCUAAGGUCCCCAAGUUCACGUUAAGUGGAGAAGGAUGUGGAAUUGCACAGACAACCAGGAUGUUGGCUCAGAAGCAGCCACACAUUUAAAGAGUGCGUAAUAGCUCACUGGUCGAGUGAUUGUGCGCCGAAGAUGUCCGGGGCUAAACGUGACACCGAAGCGAUGGGUGCAUCUGAAAGGAUGCGCGGUAGAGGAGCAAUGUGCAGAGGCAGAAGCCGUAUCGAGAGGCACGGUGGACACUGCACAAGAGAGAAUGCCGGUAUGAGUAGCGAGAGGCAUGCGAGAAACAUGCCCGUCGAAAGCCCAAGGUUUCCUGGGGAAGGUUCAUCCGCCCAGGGUAAGUCGGGGCCUAAGCCGAGGACGGAAGUCGUAGGCGAUGGACAGCAGGUGUAGAUUCCUGCACUACCGAUGGAAUGAAGCAGUGACACAGAAGGAUAACUCGAGCAGGGUGAUGGUCAACCCUGUGCAAGCAUCAAGGUUGGGUUGUAGUGAAGUACGCAAUCCUAUAAGCUGAGAUGUGAUGCGGACCGAAAUUUCAGUAGGGAAGCGAGUGAGUUCACGCUGGCGAGAAAAGCUGCUAGUACAUCCAAAGGUACCCGUACCGGAAACCGACGCAGGUGGGCGAGGAGAGAAUCCUGAGACGAACGGGAGAACCCUUGUUAAGGAACUCGGCAAAAUGACCCCGUAACUUCGGGAUAAGGGGUGCCUGCGAGAGCAGGCCGCAGAGAAUAGUCACAAGCGACUGUUUAGCAAAAACACAGGUAUCUGCGAAAGCGAGAGCUGACGUAUAGGUGCUGACACCUGCCCGGUGCUGGAAGGUUAAGGGAACAUGUUAGAGCAAUCGAAGCAUCGAACCGAAGCCCCAGUAAACGGCGGCCGUAACUAUAACGGUCCUAAGGUAGCGAAAUUCCUUGUCGGGUAAGUUCCGACCCGCACGAAUGGUGUAACGACUUGUGAGCUGUCUCAACAGGGGGCCCGGUGAAAUUGAAGUAUGGGUGAAGAUGCCCAUUACCCGCGACUGGACGGAAAGACCCCGUAGAGCUUUACUGCAGCCUGAUAUUGAGUUUCGGUAACUGAUGCACAGGAUAGGUGGGAGUCUGAGAGACAUGGGUUUCGGCUCAUGUGGAGACGAUGUUGGGAUACCACUCUUCGGUUACUGAAAUUCUAACAUAGCUCUGUGAAACCAGAGGAUGGACAGUGUCAGGUGGACAGUUUGACUGGGGCGGUCGCCUCCGAAAGAGUAACGGAGGCGCCCAAAGGUACCCUCAGAAUGGAUGGAAACCAUUCGAAGAGCGCAAAGGCAGAAGGGUGCCUGACUGCGAGAGUGACAACUCGAGCAGAGACGAAAGUCGGGCUUAGUGAUCCGGCGGUAUUGAGUGGAAAAGCCGUCGCUUAACGGAUAAAAGCUACCUCGGGGAUAACAGGCUGAUCUCCCCCAAGAGUCCACAUCGACGGGGAGGUUUGGCACCUCGAUGUCGGCUCGUCGCAUCCUGGGGCUG
Molecule: ribosomal RNA, 1570 nt
Filed under: human gut metagenome
Description: bacterial LSU rRNA
Rfam family: Bacterial large subunit ribosomal RNA
Source: RNAcentral